Vespula vulgaris is the source of this 2168-nucleotide long non-coding RNA. RefSeq lists it as uncharacterized. The record is from RefSeq and is a predicted model, not a curated record. The transcript has 2 exons. NCBI's taxonomy places the organism in Eukaryota, Metazoa, Arthropoda, Insecta, Hymenoptera, Vespidae.
CGUAAAUCGGCCAAUAACAUUCUAUGCAACACCUAGAAAGAUAAUGCAAGAACGGAUUUUAAAGAGUUUCCAGUCUAUUCGAAAGGAGCAGAGUGAAAGAAGAACCUGCCAUAUAUGAAUUAACAAUAAGAUGUAAGAGAAACUGUUCGGUCAAUAAAUUUAUUCUUGAUAAUAAAAUAAUAAAAGGACAAUUGUUAAAAUAAAUAGAACGUUUCGAUGAAUUACAGAAAAUUCAAAUAAUGAAGGCUCUACUUUACUUGGGAGAAAAAGAAAAAAGAAUACAAAGAUUACAGUUAAGGGUCAGCUAGGGAGAAAAAGUAGAGAGUUGAUAACGAGUGACUAACUCACCUGACGACUAUUGCACCGACAAUGAGUCGUUAAACUCCCAACGACGAAUACGAAAGAAACGUCAUCGUUUUUAACGAAGAACUUUUAUUCUCUUAUAUUUACCUGGCUCUUACGCUUUGGCAGCAACUAGUUGAAAAGAAGGAAAUUAUAUUUACCUACCCUGGUUAGUUCGUGCCGUACUACUUGAGGAUUCUUGUCGAUGGCAACGCUAAUGCAAAGGGCGAAAAAGGCUUCUUCGUAUCUACCUAAAGCCGAUAAUGCUACUCCUCUUCUAUAAUGACCCUGUUGAUAAGAUCAUCGUUAGACACGAAGAAACUUUACUUUGUUCUUUUCCAAAGGAAAAGUAGAAAAAGAAAUAAAAACACAAUGCUAAUCUCACCUUGCCCCAAUCAGGCCUAAGCCUAACUGCCUGAUCGGCAUCUGUGAGAGACGCUUGCGGCCUUUUUAACAAGAGCAAGACAUGGGCCCUGUUGCUAAGAUGGAGUGGGCUGUUUGGCACUGAAACAGAAGGAAAUAACGUUCGUAGAACCUGUUGUUCAUCAUUAUUUCUUCUUGCCGAGAAUACCAAUUUGGUUAAAGCUUUCUCAUAUUUGUUUAGAAAGUCAAAGAUAAAACAAAUUUUGUUCUCUGUAAUUAAGAGACACUAGUUAUGUAUGUUGAUAUUAUGUGAUUUUCAAGUUGAUAUUUUUAUCGAUAUGCGGAGGAUAUAUUGACUCGUAAUUUGAAACUUUUGGUUAAUUAAAUCAGUCAAUUGUAACGUAAAAUAACUGAAAAGUUAUCAUCGCGUUAACUUAAUCGAUCGAUUUGUGGAUAUACAAUUUAUCAAGUAAUUAUAGAUUUUGCAAGAAUUUUUUUCUAAACAAAUGAUAGUUUUGAACUAUUGAGAAAUACGUUUAUUAUCUAACAUCGAUCGAAGAAAUUUAAAGAUUAAUAUCUUUACGCUUUCCGAUAUACAAGUACGAAUUUAGGUCGAUAUGGUCGAUUAAACAAAUUACUGAUAUAUAUUAAUUGCCUACUAGCUACCCUACGGCAUAAGCAAUACGAAAUUGCAAUACGAAAUUGAAAUCGUUUGGUCGGAUAAGCCAAAUUGUAUAUGACGCGAAGACGAGUGUGGCGAUAGUCCGAGGCUUAACGCGACGAUGAAUUUUAUUUUAUAAUCGUACCUAUCUCGAAAUAGAUUCUACGUUCUCGUUUUAUGGGCUCACAUAAUCAAUUCGAGUUGGCUCCACGAUUGCAACUAUUCCCUAUUCAUUAUUAUUUUAUUUCAAUUUAUACUUUUCAAUAUAAGAAUAAAUAAUCGUUUGUCAUACAUAUGUAAACUGUACAUGUUCGAUUAUUUUAUUUUUAUAUAAUAACAUACGUAGACAUCGAGUUAAUAAUAAAUGAUUUAUUUAAAUAAAUAAACUUGUACGUAGUAUAUCUAAUUUUGUAUAUAUAGAGAAGCUCUAUGACAAGUGGUUCGUUCCUGUACGUCGAACGUGUGACCAAAUAUAGUCAAAGACCGAAGAUAGUUUAAAUGCGUUUCUUGCGAGUCAUGAGGAGAUCGGUUCGAAAAGGAGGGAGAGAGGAGACGCGUACUUCGAAAGCGUGGACCGUGAAGAGUCGAUUCGACGAGGAGAGCGUGACGUCGAGUGGACGCGGAGACAAGCGGAGGCAGACGGGUGCAAACGACGGGAGUGCAUCCUGGCAUUGUGAGCAAUGUCAUUGCCUUCGUGGCGAGAACUCUUUCUAUAUGUUGGUGGAGAAUGAAUUUCCGGCACGCGCUACGAGCACCGACGGCUCAUGCCAAUUGUUAAAAUAAAUGAAAUAUUCGAUUAUUA